This 84-nucleotide transfer RNA is filed under the name Fidelibacterota bacterium. RNAcentral describes it as "tRNA-Leu". It matches the Rfam family "tRNA". Rfam says of the family: Transfer RNA (tRNA) molecules are approximately 80 nucleotides in length. Their secondary structure includes four short double-helical elements and three loops (D, anti-codon, and T loops). The record is from RNAcentral. RNAcentral also lists the same sequence under 3 other names. Lineage: Bacteria; Pseudomonadati; Fidelibacterota.
GCCGUGGUGGCGGAAUUGGUAGACGCGCCAGACUUAGGAUCUGGUGAGCGAUAGCUUGUGGGAGUUCGAGUCUCCCCCGCGGCA